RNAcentral lists this ribosomal RNA (305 nucleotides) under uncultured bacterium. RNAcentral's name for it is "bacterial SSU rRNA". It matches the Rfam family "Bacterial small subunit ribosomal RNA", at positions 338 to 658 of the family's 1533-position model. The record is from RNAcentral.
CCUACGGGGGGCAGCAGUGGGGAAUAUUGCACAAUGGGGGAAACCCUGAUGCAGCGACGCCGCGUGGGCGAGGAAGUACCUCGGUAUGUAAAGCCCUAUCAGCAGGGAAGAAACAGGACAGUACCUGACUAAGAAGCCCCGGCUAACUACGUGCCAGCAGCCGCGGUAAUACGUAGGGGGCAAGCGUUAUCCGGAUUUACUGGGUGUAAAGGGAGCGUAGGUGGCAUGGUAAGCCAGAAGUGAAAACCCAGGGCUCAACUCUGUGGAUUGCUUUUGGAACUAUCAAGCUAGAGUGCUGGAGGGGG